AGUGGCGAACGGGUGAGUAAUAUAUCGGAACGUACCCUAGAGUGGGGGAUAACGUAGCGAAAGUUACGCUAAUACCGCAUACGAUCUAAGGAUGAAAGUGGGGGAUCGCAAGACCUCAUGCUCGUGGAGCGGCCGAUAUCUGAUUAGCUAGUUGGUAGGGUAAAAGCCUACCAAGGCAUCGAUCAGUAGCUGGUCUGAGAGGACGACCAGCCACACUGGAACUGAGACACGGUCCAGACUCCUACGGGAGGCAGCAGUGGGGAAUUUUGGACAACGGGCGAAAGCCUGAUCCAGCAAUGCCGCGUGAGUGAAGAAGGCCUUCGGGUUGUAAAGCUCUUUUGUCAGGGAAGAAACGGUGAGAGCUAAUAUCUCUUGCUAAUGACGGUACCUGAAGAAUAAGCACCGGCUAACUACGUGCCAGCAGCCGCGGUAAUACGUAGGGUGCAAGCGUUAAUCGGAAUUACUGGGCGUAAAGCGUGCGCAGGCGGUUUUGUAAGUCUGAUGUGAAAUCCCCGGGCUCAACCUGGGAAUUGCAUUGGAGACUGCAAGGCUAGAAUCUGGCAGAGGGGGGUAGAAUUCCACGUGUAGCAGUGAAAUGCGUAGAUAUGUGGAGGAACACCGAUGGCGAAGGCAGCCCCCUGGGUCAAGAUUGACGCUCAUGCACGAAAGCGUGGGGAGCAAACAGGAUUAGAUACCCUGGUAGUCCACGCCCUAAACGAUGUCUACUAGUUGU
Molecule: ribosomal RNA, 733 nt
Filed under: uncultured bacterium
Lineage: Bacteria
Description: bacterial SSU rRNA
Rfam family: Bacterial small subunit ribosomal RNA
Source: RNAcentral